Molecule: ribosomal RNA, 465 nt
Filed under: Triticum aestivum (bread wheat)
Lineage: Eukaryota; Viridiplantae; Streptophyta; Magnoliopsida; Poales; Poaceae
Description: partial small subunit ribosomal RNA
Source: RNAcentral
AUGUUCCUCGCACGCUCACCGCUUCGCCUCUGUCUCCCACCACGCCGCACGCCCCACGCUGGAAAAGGGAAGGCGAGCCACCUCCGCCCUCCCCUCGCCCCCGCGCUGGUCCCACCGCCGAGCCUAGUUCCCCUCACUUCUCCGUGCAGGCGCCGUCGCAUCAAUCGAUCUCCCGAGCAAGCGACCUCCCUCUCCAAUCUACUCGUUGGCUAUGGCGGACGAGCCGGAGGGGCGAGGGGAGGGGGAGCAUGGACGCCAACUGGCGCCCCACCCAUGACUCAGAUCCCGCCACCACGGCCGCCGGAGGCGGGGUUGACCCGAACGCACCGGCGCCCCACCGCCGGAGGAGACUGGCGCUCUGGGCUCCAUCCCGACGCCCGCGCCAGGAUCGUCAGUAAGAUAUCCAGUCGCACUCCUCAUCCAGCUCCAUGUCUCCUAGUGCGGCGGCACAGUGGGAGGAUGUGA